GGACAAAUAGCCAAACGGUAAGGCAUAAGACUGCAACUCUUUGAUUGUGGGUUCAAUUCCCGCUUUGUCCUCCA
This 74-nucleotide transfer RNA is filed under the name Caudoviricetes sp. RNAcentral's name for it is "tRNA-Cys". It matches the Rfam family "tRNA". Rfam says of the family: Transfer RNA (tRNA) molecules are approximately 80 nucleotides in length. Their secondary structure includes four short double-helical elements and three loops (D, anti-codon, and T loops). Further hydrogen bonds mediate the characteristic L-shaped molecular structure. tRNAs have two regions of fundamental functional importance: the anti-codon, which is responsible for specific mRNA codon recognition, and the 3' end, to which the tRNAs corresponding amino acid is attached (by aminoacyl-tRNA synthetases). tRNAs cope with the degeneracy of the genetic code in two manners: having more than one tRNA (with a specific anti-codon) for a particular amino acid; and 'wobble' base-pairing, i.e. permitting non-standard base-pairing at the 3rd anti-codon position. The record is from RNAcentral. Lineage: Duplodnaviria; Heunggongvirae; Uroviricota; Caudoviricetes.